UUUGGGUGUGACUGCGUACCUUUUGUAUAAUGGGUCAGCGACUUAUAUUCUGUAGCAAGGUUAACCGAAUAGGGGAGCCGGAGGGAAACCGAGUCUUAACCGGGCGUUAAGUUGCAGGGUAUAGACCCGAAACCCGGUGAUCUAGCCAUGGGCAGGUUGAAGGUUGGGUAACACUAACUGGAGGACCGAACCGACUAAUGUUGAAAAAUUAGCGGAUGACCUGUGGCUGGGGGUGAAAGGCCAAUCAAACCGGGAGAUAGCUGGUUCUCCCCGAAAGCUAUUUAGGUAGCGCCUCGUGAAUUCAUCUCCGGGGGUAGAGCACUGUUUCGGCUAGGGGGCCAUCCCGGCUUACCAACCCGAUGCAAACUGCGAAUACCGGAGAAUGUUAUCACGGGAGACACACGGCGGGUGCUAACGUCCGUCGUGAAGAGGGAAACAACCCAGACCGCCAGCUAAGGUCCCAAAGUCAUGGUUAAGUGGGAAACGAUGUGGGAAGGCCCAGACAGCCAGGAUGUUGGCUUAGAAGCAGCCAUCAUUUAAAGAAAGCGUAAUAGCUCACUGGUCGAGUCGGCCUGCGCGGAAGAUGUAACGGGGCUAAACCAUGCACCGAAGCUGCGGCAGCGACACUGUGUGUUGUUGGGUAGGGGAGCGUUCUGUAAGCCUGUGAAGGUGUGUCGUGAGGCAUGCUGGAGGUAUCAGAAGUGCGAAUGCUGACAUAAGUAACGAUAAAGCGGGUGAAAAGCCCGCUCGCCGGAAGACCAAGGGUUCCUGUCCAACGUUAAUCGGGGCAGGGUGAGUCGACCCCUAAGGCGAGGCCGAAAGGCGUAGUCGAUGGGAAACGGGUUAAUAUUCCCGUACUUGGUGUUACUGCGAAGGGGGGACGGAGAAGGCUAUGUUGGCCGGGCGACGGUUGUCCCGGUUUAAGCGUGUAGGUGUGUGUUCCAGGUAAAUCCGGUUCACUUUAACACUGAGGCGUGACGACGAGGCACUACGGUGCUGAAGCAACAAAUGCCCUGCUUCCAGGAAAAGCCUCUAAGCAUCAGGUAACAUCAAAUCGUACCCCAAACCGACACAGGUGGUCAGGUAGAGAAUACCAAGGCGCUUGAGAGAACUCGGGUGAAGGAACUAGGCAAAAUGGUGCCGUAACUUCGGGAGAAGGCACGCUGACACGUAGGUGAAGUGAUUUACUCAUGGAGCUGAAGUCAGUCGAAGAUACCAGCUGGCUGCAACUGUUUAUUAAAAACACAGCACUGUGCAAACACGAAAGUGGACGUAUACGGUGUGACGCCUGCCCGGUGCCGGAAGGUUAAUUGAUGGGGUCAGCGCAAGCGAAGCUCCUGAUCGAAGCCCCGGUAAACGGCGGCCGUAACUAUAACGGUCCUAAGGUAGCGAAAUUCCUUGUCGGGUAAGUUCCGACCUGCACGAAUGGCGUAAUGAUGGCCAGGCUGUCUCCACCCGAGACUCAGUGAAAUUGAACUCGCUGUGAAGAUGCAGUGUACCCGCGGCAAGACGGAAAGACCCCGUGAACCUUUACUAUAGCUUGACACUGAACAUUGAGCCUUGAUGUGUAGGAUAGGUGGGAGGCUUUGAAGUGUGGACGCCAGUCUGCAUGGAGCCGACCUUGAAAUACCACCCUUUAAUGUUUGAUGUUCUAACGUGGACCCGUUACCCGGGUUGCGGACAGUGUCUGGUGGGUAGUUUGACUGGGGCGGUCUCCUCCUAAAGAGUAACGGAGGAGCACGAAGGUUGGCUAAUCCUGGUCGGACAUCAGGAGGUUAGUGCAAUGGCAUAAGCCAGCUUGACUGCGAGCGUGACGGCGCGAGCAGGUGCGAAAGCAGGUCAUAGUGAUCCGGUGGUUCUGAAUGGAAGGGCCAUCGCUCAACGGAUAAAAGGUACUCCGGGGAUAACAGGCUGAUACCGCCCAAGAGUUCAUAUCGACGGCGGUGUUUGGCACCUCGAUGUCGGCUCAUCACAUCCUGGGGCUGAAGUAGGUCCCAAGGGUAUGGCUGUUCGCCAUUUAAAGUGGUACGCGAGCUGGGUUUAGAACGUCGUGAGACAGUUCGGUCCCUAUCUGCCGUGGGCGCUGGAGAACUGAGGGGGGCUGCUCCUAGUACGAGAGGACCGGAGUGGACGCAUCACUGGUGUUCGGGUUGUCAUGCCAAUGGCACUGCCCGGUAGCUAAAUGCGGAAGAGAUAAGUGCUGAAAGCAUCUAAGCACGAAACUUGCCCCGAGAUGAGUUCUCCCUGAGACUUAGAGUCUCCUGAAGGAACGUUGAAGACGACGACGUUGAUAGGCCGGGUGUGUAAGCGCAGCGAUGCGUUGAGCUAACCGGUACUAAUGAACCGUGAGGCUUAACCUU
RNAcentral lists this ribosomal RNA (2360 nucleotides) under Salmonella enterica subsp. enterica serovar Enteritidis str. CDC_2010K_1565. RNAcentral describes it as "bacterial LSU rRNA". It matches the Rfam family "Bacterial large subunit ribosomal RNA", at positions 586 to 2925 of the family's 2925-position model. The record is from RNAcentral. Lineage: Bacteria; Pseudomonadati; Pseudomonadota; Gammaproteobacteria; Enterobacterales; Enterobacteriaceae.